AGUGAACGCUGGCGGUAGGCCUAACACAUGCAAGUCGAACGGCAGCACAGUAAGAGCUUGCUCUUACGGGUGGCGAGUGGCGGACGGGUGAGGAAUACAUCGGAAUCUACUUUUUCGUGGGGGAUAACGUAGGGAAACUUACGCUAAUACCGCAUACGACCUACGGGUGAAAGCAGGGGAUCUUCGGACCUUGCGCGAUUGAAUGAGCCGAUGUCGGAUUAGCUAGUUGGCGGGGUAAAGGCCCACCAAGGCGACGAUCCGUAGCUGGUCUGAGAGGAUGAUCAGCCACACUGGAACUGAGACACGGUCCAGACUCCUACGGGAGGCAGCAGUGGGGAAUAUUGGACAACGGGCGCAAGCCUGAUCCAGCCAUACCGCGUGGGUGAAGUAGGCCUUCGGGUUGUAAAGCCCUUUUGUUGGGAAAGAAAAGCAGCAGGUUAAUACCCCGCUGUUCUGACGGUACCCAAAGAAUAAGCACCGGCUAACUUCGUG
RNAcentral lists this ribosomal RNA (492 nucleotides) under uncultured bacterium. Its description in RNAcentral is "partial 16S ribosomal RNA". It matches the Rfam family "Bacterial small subunit ribosomal RNA", at positions 29 to 507 of the family's 1533-position model. The record is from RNAcentral.